Molecule: ribosomal RNA, 450 nt
Filed under: uncultured bacterium
Lineage: Bacteria
Description: bacterial SSU rRNA
Rfam family: Bacterial small subunit ribosomal RNA
Source: RNAcentral
GUGGGGAAUAUUGCGCAAUGGGGGCAACCCUGACGCAGCCAUGCCGCGUGAAUGAAGAAGGCCUUCGGGUUGUAAAGUUCUUUCGGUGAUGAGGAAGGCGGUUAGUUUAAUAGGCUAAUCGAUUGACGUUAAUCACAGAAGAAGCACCGGCUAACUCCGUGCCAGCAGCCGCGGUAAUACGGAGGGUGCGAGCGUUAAUCGGAAUAACUGGGCGUAAAGGGCACGCAGGCGGUUGCUUAAGUGAGGUGUGAAAUCCCCGGGCUUAACCUGGGAAUUGCAUUUCAGACUGGGCAGCUAGAGUAUUUUAGGGAGGGGUAGAAUUCCACGUGUAGCGGUGAAAUGCGUAGAGAUGUGGAGGAAUACCGAAGGCGAAGGCAGCCCCUUGGGGAAAUACUGACGCUCAUGUGCGAAAGCGUGGGGAGCAAACAGGAUUAGAAACCCUAGUAGUCC